GUUAAAAAGCUCGUAGUUGGAUUUCGGGAUGGGCCAGUCGGUCUGCCGUGAGGUAAGUUACUGGCUGGUCUGUUCUUCCUCGCAAAGAAUGCGUGUGCUCUUUACUGAGUGGGCGUAGGAUUUGCGACGUUUACUUUGAAAAAAUUAGAGUGUUCAAAGCAGGCUUACCGCUUGAAUACAUGAGCAUGGAAUAAUGGAAUAGGACUUUGGUCUUAUUUUGUUGGUUUCUAAGACUGAGGUAAUGAUUAAGAGGGACAGUUGGGGGCAUUCGUAUUUCGUUGUCAGAGGUGAAAUUCUUGGAUUUACGAAAGACGAACAACUGCGAAAGCAUUUGCCAAGAAUGUUUUCAUUAAUCAAGAACGAAAGUUAGAGGCUCGAAGACGAUCAGAUACCGUCCUAGUUCUAACCAUAAACGAUGCCGACUAGGGAUCAGCGAGCGUUAUUGUAUGACCUCGUUGGCACCUUAUGGGAAACCAAAGUUUUUGGGUUCCGGGGGAAGUAUGGUUGCAAAGCUGAAACUUAAAGGAAUUGACGGAAGGGCACCACCAGGAGUGGAGCCUGCGGCUUAAUUUGACUCAACACGGGGAAACUCACCAGGUCCAGACAUAGCAAGGAUUGACAGAUUGAGAGCU
RNAcentral lists this ribosomal RNA (632 nucleotides) under uncultured marine eukaryote. RNAcentral describes it as "SSU rRNA". It matches the Rfam family "Eukaryotic small subunit ribosomal RNA", at positions 618 to 1256 of the family's 1831-position model. The record is from RNAcentral.